CUUUAAUAUUGUCAAUGCUGUGGAGAAUUAUGGAAUAUCAGUUGUUACCACUGAUGAUGACAUCUUGGAUAAGCUCAACAAAAAAUGGAAAAUUGACCAACUUGAUGUCUCUGAUUCCUUUGGUAUGAGUCAGUCUGAGUUCCAAUCUGCUGGUGGUGAAUGCUCUAAGGAUGGUGAUUCUUACAUUGGGGAUAACACCACACCUGUUUCAAAGGAUUACGUGGGUGA
Molecule: long non-coding RNA, 228 nt
Organism: Helianthus annuus (common sunflower)
Lineage: Eukaryota; Viridiplantae; Streptophyta; Magnoliopsida; Asterales; Asteraceae
Exons: 3
Source: RefSeq, a predicted model, not a curated record